CUGUUUAGAUUAAUCCUCUCAGGAGUUUCCAAGCUUCAGGUGGUUUUGGAGGUGAAGUCUUGCACAAGAUUGGACAGAGAUCUUGUGAAUUACAUGAUUGCCAAUGUUGUUCUUAAUUCUCGAGUUUUUAUAAUGCUUCUGAAGUGGCUGGUGGCAUGUCUGCUAUUCUUACAUGAUUGUUUUUUGGUUGAAUUUUGCUUUUUCUCAGGCUGAGCAAUGCAGGAAAAUGUAUCCCCACUGGAAUUGAACCUUGGUCUCCAGAAUCAAAGUCCAGUUCCAAACCCACUACACCAUAAUGGCUCACUGACCUGCAUUACAAUACCACAGCAUUGUCUUUAGUCAUGGUCCUAUUCCUGCUGACAGCCCAGCCUAACAGGAGCUCAAUGACGGCAUCAUAAGAUAAUUACCCUUUAAGUGCUGACUGCACAUCCCUACAGCAUCAGCCUUGGGAUAAUGGUGAAGAAGUGUUAGAGGAAUACAUAAUUUCAAUGAUGAGCUGCAGCAAUAUGCCUGCAGUAAAAAAUACAAUGAAGCUGGACCUCAGAAAAAAAUGAGAUUGUAUUCUAGGUGAUCCUUCUGCAGCUGUAUGUAUAUAUAGCAGACAAGAGUAAGAUUCACCAGCAUGAAGACAAGCAACAGAGGCACUUUUAUUACGAUCUGCAGAAAGGAUGCUAUGUACAGCACGGAUGCCACAAAUGUACAACCAUAGCAUACAAGGGGUUCCAAAAACGGGUGCAUCUUAGAUUCAGUAGUGCCUUACAUUCACCGAUGUUGGGAUUUAGAGAGGAGCAGAGGGAGGAAGAGCUCCAACCCCAAAUGACUCCAGUUUUUAAAACAACAACAACAGUCUUACUGCCCAGAAAGAGGGAGAAGGAAUAUGACUGAGUUAAGCACCAUUUCCUGCUUCUGCUACCUGUCCCCAACAAGCCUAUAGACUUAGUAAAAAAGACUUGUGCAGACAAAACGGCUUCUGAGU
This is a long non-coding RNA of Anolis carolinensis (green anole), 976 nucleotides long. RefSeq lists it as uncharacterized. The record is from RefSeq and is a predicted model, not a curated record. NCBI's taxonomy places the organism in Eukaryota, Metazoa, Chordata, Lepidosauria, Squamata, Anolidae. The transcript has 5 exons.